Molecule: long non-coding RNA, 251 nt
Filed under: Elaeis guineensis (African oil palm)
Lineage: Eukaryota; Viridiplantae; Streptophyta; Magnoliopsida; Arecales; Arecaceae
Description: long non-coding RNA (EGUI_LNC024909)
Source: RNAcentral
UGAUAUUAACAUAUAAAAUAUGAAUAAUUAAAUAUUAUUAAUAAUAUAUUUUUUAGUUAUGAAUUAAAUCUAAAAAUAUAUUAAAUAAAAACUAAUAACAUUAAAAGAAAAAUUUCAGGCCAGGUAGAGGAAAGCCAGGAUUUGAUCUCCAAGCCUUAGACAGUCCUGAAUGCUCCAAAUUUGCAGACCCAACCAAACCUGCUUGGCUUAAAUUUGUGGGCGGGUUUAGUGGUGUGGCGUAACGAAACGGG